GGGAUGGGGGAGGGAUGGCGAGGUCCGGGACGCGCAGGCAGGUCGAGAGGUCUACAUUCACACUGUGUGAGAUUCUGAGGUUCAAGGAGGACCCGCGUCUUUGAGUGUCACUGUCACGGGCACCAUGUUCUAAGAUGAUCCUACAGGACUAAGCUGAUCCACGGUUCUAAGCCAAUCCCAUUGUUCUACAUUGAUCCGUGGCUCUAAGAUGACUGAUGAUUCCAACCCUGAACCUUUCAGGAUCCCUGGGGUUUCCAAGGCAGCCCUGAACAGAGAAGAGGAAUGCAGGAGGCACUGCUUUGUCCUGCGGGGCGACACCCAAAGGAUUCACCUGUCGUGGCAGAUGGUGGUCCCGAUGCUGCUGCUCCGGCACUGGCGAAAGACGAGCUGAUCUGUGUGCAGAGAGCAUUGAUGCUGUCGCUGUCACUGGCACCAGGAGGCUCCAUCUCAGGACCUCACCAGAGCUGUACCCGCUGGAGGGAUGUCACCCAGGACACGUCUUCCAUCAUGAGGUGAUGAGCCUACCCAGAUGCGCCAGGGCCAUGGAAACAACAGCUCAGGACAAGCUGGACCGGGAAACCACCUCUUCCUGCAUCUCACUGUGUGACCUCAGGAAGUCCCUUCCCCUCUCUGGGCUCCAGUUUCCCAACUAGAGACCUGGGAUAAACAUCCCUAGGCUACCUCCCCAAGCCUCCUGGGAAGGUCAGUUAAGGUAGUGAACGUUCAAUGCUCUGGAAUCCAACAAAAGCUUCAUAAACAACUCUGUGGACAGUGCUCUGCUUCAGAGCUGUUAAAACGCAGUGCCUCCAGGCGGUGAUUCAGCGCAGCCGCAGAAGCAGCAGCAGGAGCAGCACACUGUGAGAUGUGCAGCAAAUCAGACCUCACUGUAAACUCCUGUUUGUCUGUGCAAACAGUGAAGUGCCUUUUGCGAUGCAAAGUACCUGAAAAUUAGCAUGUCCUUUGGGAACAAACCCUUUGCAAAUUCAAAAGCACCUAACAACAUUCUUUGUUAAGUUCUGACAUCCUAUGUAAAUGGUAAAAGAAACGUUUGUAAACAGAAGCACUGCACCUUGAGCAUUGUUUCUUAUUUAUUUCUGUCACAUCCCCUGCUCUCAUUCUUUCUGAAUAGCAACUCCAAGUAAGAUAUAAAGUGAGAUAUAUCUUUUAUAUGUUAACCCAUCCACACACAAUGAAAUAAAUGUACCAUUAU
Sciurus carolinensis (gray squirrel) is the source of this 1210-nucleotide long non-coding RNA. RefSeq lists it as uncharacterized. The record is from RefSeq and is a predicted model, not a curated record. NCBI's taxonomy places the organism in Eukaryota, Metazoa, Chordata, Mammalia, Rodentia, Sciuridae. The transcript is spliced from 3 exons.